CAGCAUCUCUGUCCUUCAGUUCUCUGAGCUUCAGUGAAGAUGAAGACACUCGCUCUGAUCAUCUGCUCUCUGCUGCUGCUCCUCCACGAGUGUGGAGGACAGAUCAGCGUCACUCAGAGUCCCUCAAUCACAGCAGAACCAGACAAAUCCGUCACAAUCACCUGCAGAACCAGCACAGAUGUGUACAAUGAUGGCUCUGAUGAUUUGUUAGCCUGGUAUUUACAGAAACCUGGAGAAGCUCCUAAACUCCUGAUUUAUUGGGCCAAUCGUCGAACUUCAGGAACUUCAUCUAGAUUCAGUGGCAGUGGAUCUAAGAGUGAUUUCACUCUGAGCAUCAGUGGAGUCCAGACUGAAGAUGCUGGACAUUAUUACUGUCAGAGUUUACACUGCAGAACAGAUUCUAACAAUGACUGUGUGGGUGAUGUUGUGUUCACACAGUGA
Molecule: non-coding RNA, 441 nt
Organism: Danio aesculapii
Lineage: Eukaryota; Metazoa; Chordata; Actinopteri; Cypriniformes; Danionidae
Source: the annotation of a RefSeq genome assembly